GCAGAAAAUGAUGCCUUAAUCUUCUGAGACAUUUAUGAAACAUUGGAUUACUCCAGGAUCAGUGUGCUAUCAUCUGCAAGAAAUAUACAGGCUGAUUGGAUUGCACAGAACUUUUCAAGGUUCCAUAUGGAAAGGGCUGUGAAAACAUGGAAAGAUGAAAGGACCUGGGCCAAAUGGAGCAUCUACAAUACCCAGGACAGUUGUCACGCCAAUUCUGCCUGGUGCUGAGCAUCCUCUGGUCCUGCUGCAGGUGUUCAGCCACGUGCUGGGGUCCUUGGGCAGGACAUAUUGCAAAGUCCCCAACUGCACAAUCACUUAACUGCAGGUGAGAAGGGCUUCCAGAAAUAGACCAGAACAGACACCAGACACUCCUCUGAAAUCCUCCAUGGCUGCAAGUAGACACUGAAGCCCAAGGAGUUGAAUUGACCAUUGGAAUGGCUGAUGCUCAAACAUAGAGUCUUCCUGAGAUCCAACCUAGUGCCAGAAUACACCGCAGGACUGACAUCCUGAAACUUGGAGUCAGACCACCUGUAAUGCCCCAAAGAACUACUGGGCAAAGAGGAGCAAUGCUAGUUUCUGUCCCCUUUUCCCUCCAGGCCAUCUCCAGCAGAAACAAGACAUUGGAACAUCAUGUGUUUUGGGAGUGACCAGGUUACCUCCCCCUGCACUGAGCUUUGGUGGCAGCCAAAGUGGCACACAUGUUCAUGGCGUUUUGUCUGGGUCUGACUGAGCCUGCAGGCUCCUGAGGGAGAGUCUUGUCUCUUCACAUUUUGUGCCAAGCACACUGUCAGAGAAAACCAGGAAAAACUGGCCCCAAAUAGGCUGAAGGUAGUGGAGUUGCAAAAUCUGGCACCUGAGAAAGACGCAUGGGGAGGAUGAUGCAGAAUCCUGGCCCGUUUUCUACUGAUUUCCUAAAAUUCUCACCAUCUUCUCUGUUUGUUUGUUUCACUUCGUUAAUUAUGAAAACAAACUGAAAUGAGCAGAUGCCUGGAUCUGCUCCCAGCUUUCUCUUUGCAGAUGCUAUCAAGAGGAGCACUGUGGAAGCCAAGGAAUAAAGAAAGACUUUGAUGCCCCUGGAGUGCAUUGUGAGAGUGUAUGUCUGUGUUCAGACACGUACCUGAGCAACGGGAGAAGACAAAAUCACCCAUCCCAUCCCUGAGCUUGCACUAAACUCUAUUGAAUUACACAUGCAUUUGUCUUCUCAUUGUAAUUUCAUGGCACUGGCUGUUUGCUCUGAUUUUGCCUCUUGUUAGUAGCUUGCCUCCUGUGGGAGAUUUUUGUUCAGUCUGAGAUCCCUUAUCACAAACACCUGAUAUUCAUCUUAUUUUGCCUUUCUUGUCUCAAUGAAAUCAGCAAUUCCAAAUACAUUCAAAUGUUCUUCAUCCUCACAAUGCCUUUGAGGGAUGUAGGAUGUGUUACAGACAAAUAGAAAAUUAAAAUAAUCAGCAUAUACAAUGUCUUGGCUUACAUAGCCACCUUUUCUACUGAGCCCCAUGUGCAAGGAAAUAAACUCCAGAUAUUGUAAACUGCUGAAAAACAACAGGUAACAUUGUGUUUGCCAAAUUAAAUAUUCAAAGAAGUGCUGCAUUAGAGCUUUCCCAGUCCAUCGCUGCCCUAUCUGAACUCAAAAUCCAAACAACUACAUGAAAGAAGUCCCAGCAAAUUUAAUUAAUCCUGAAGAUUUCCUCCCUGACAGUCUGUGGAAAAGCUGCCUCUUGGGCUGUGGUGGGAAAAAUCUUCAUCUAAUCAAAUUGUUACUGAUGGAUGUUUGGGUGA
This is a long non-coding RNA of Zonotrichia leucophrys gambelii, 1776 nucleotides long. RefSeq lists it as uncharacterized. NCBI's taxonomy places the organism in Eukaryota, Metazoa, Chordata, Aves, Passeriformes, Passerellidae. The record is from RefSeq and is a predicted model, not a curated record. The transcript has 4 exons.